CAGUGCCAUCGGACCGCGUGCCUCUAGCGGCGGGACGGCCCGGCGUCGUCCCUGGGGUCGGUGGCGAAACGGCCGGCAACCUGUCCGACCCGUCUUGAAACACGGACCAAGGAGUCUAACAUGUGCGCAAGUCGUUGGGCGUUACGAAACCCGAAGGCGCAAUGAAAGUGAAGGCCCGGUCUUGUGCCGGCCUGGGUGGGAUCCGGACGGUCGCGGCCGUCCGGCGCACCACCGGCCCGUCUCGUUCGUCGCGUCGAAGAGGCGGAGCAAGAGCGUACACGUUGGGACCCGAAAGA
This 296-nucleotide ribosomal RNA is filed under the name Pietromodeona januaeargenti. Its description in RNAcentral is "partial large subunit ribosomal RNA". It matches the Rfam family "Eukaryotic large subunit ribosomal RNA", at positions 560 to 823 of the family's 3401-position model. Lineage: Eukaryota; Metazoa; Annelida; Clitellata; Crassiclitellata; Lumbricidae. The record is from RNAcentral.